Alligator sinensis (Chinese alligator) is the source of this 1206-nucleotide long non-coding RNA. RefSeq lists it as uncharacterized. Lineage: Eukaryota; Metazoa; Chordata; Crocodylia; Alligatoridae. The transcript is spliced from 4 exons. The record is from RefSeq and is a predicted model, not a curated record.
UUACAGAUGGAGAGCAAGGCUGCAGCAUUCUCCAAGUCAAGGGGAGAGCGAGCACGCUAUCCUUGGAACGCAAGAAUUUCAGGCUCUCUUUUCCAGGAUUUGCAGUAAACCAUGUAGGGAUGACUUCGGAUGAGGGCUGUUGGGUCUGGGAAGCUGUCUACAAGUGGAAUGGGGGUCUUGAGACAGACCUGAAUCUUAUUCCUGACUCUUCUGCUUACUUGCAGUAUAUGUCUCUAGGAGAAACGAUUUAAUGUCCUCCACAUCUCAGUUUCGCAUCCCCUAAAUCAGCUCUGACACUAGCUUUGUUUGAAAGAUUCUGUUAGUGCAAGUUUAGGCAGCUGAAGAGGGAGGAGACCUGUAAAGUAGCUCUCUGGUGUUGGUUAUGGCGGACUUCACUCUGUGUGGAGACAAGACCAGCCUUGGGACUGCCCUAAUCUGUCAGCUGGUUACAUUCCCUUGGCUAAGUACAGACAGCCAAAAAGCCCAAGGCUGAAUCGAUUCAGUCUUCACAGCCCAAAAUAGCUAGCUACCGUAGUGGACCUUGUACUGGAGAUCUGUGCCCUACUGCAGAUGGCUGACAUACCCCUCUUGACUGAAUCCUUGGUCCAGAAACGGGCAUAACAUCUACAAAGGACAUGUGUCUCUUGGCCAGACAGUUGGCUGAAAUGAAGCAGAUGUCGACACCCAAACUUUCAAACAGCAAGGUACCUUAAACUGUGCAUGCUAUUCUGACUUGUUCAGAGAGCUUAAGUUCCUCAAGAAUGAAGAAACCAUCAGCUGCAGGUGAGGUUUGUGAAAAAUGGAGACAAGGCCUUCUCAGUCCCAGGAACAAGAUUUUGGAACCUUUUAAGAAAGAAUGAACAGUCCUGUUGCCUGCUGUGUCAAACUCUGCUACUUUCUCAUAGUGGUGAAGAGGAGGGGAGUGAAGGCAAGACGUAAGAAGCACACAUGGUUUUUAAAGAAGAAAAUUUUAAACAUUGGCUCCUUAUGACUUGAUUUACUAUCUUUUGGAGUGGCCUAUGAUUAUAGAUCCCAGAACCGGGAAGAUGCUUUUUGUGUAACUGAUGUUGCACGUCUAGUGGAUAGAACCUAACUAGCAUCUUUCUGCCCCAGUUAUUUAAUAAAAAAUAUGUGGAUAUUUCUCACUAAACUACAAAUGUUAUAGUAGAUCAUACUUCCGUUCCAAGCUUAGUUCUCUUUAAGAUA